UACGAAGGGGGCUAGCGUUGCUCGGAAUUACUGGGCGUAAAGCGUGCGCAGGCGGUUCGCCAAGUCAGGUGUGAAAUCCCCGGGCUUAACCUGGGAAUUGCGCUUGAAACUAGCGGGCUUGAGUGUGGCAGAGGGGGGUGGAAUUCCACGUGUAGCAGUGAAAUGCGUAGAGAUGUGGAGGAACACCGAUGGCGAAGGCAGCCCCCUGGGUCAACACUGACGCUCAUGCACGAAAGCGUGGGGAGCAAACAGG
Molecule: ribosomal RNA, 253 nt
Filed under: uncultured bacterium
Lineage: Bacteria
Description: partial 16S ribosomal RNA
Rfam family: Bacterial small subunit ribosomal RNA
Source: RNAcentral